CACGCAGGCGGUCUGCCAAGUUCGGAGUGACAGUUUCCGGCUUAACCGGAAAAGGUCUUCGAAAACUGGUGGACUUGAGGACUUGAGGGGGAGACGGAAUUCCGGGUGGAGCGGUGAAAUGCGUAGAGAUCCGGAGGAACACCGAAGGCGAAGGCAGUCUCCUGGCAAGUUACUGACGCUCAGGUGCGAAAGCUAGGGGAGCGAACA
RNAcentral lists this ribosomal RNA (207 nucleotides) under uncultured bacterium. RNAcentral describes it as "partial 16S ribosomal RNA". It matches the Rfam family "Bacterial small subunit ribosomal RNA", at positions 568 to 774 of the family's 1533-position model. The record is from RNAcentral.